This 61-nucleotide ribosomal RNA is filed under the name Hymenochaete denticulata. Its description in RNAcentral is "partial 28S ribosomal RNA". The record is from RNAcentral. Lineage: Eukaryota; Fungi; Basidiomycota; Agaricomycetes; Hymenochaetales; Hymenochaetaceae.
UUGACCUCAAAUCAGGUGGGACUACCCGCUGAACUUAAGCAUAUCAAAAACGGGGAAGGAA